Molecule: ribosomal RNA, 221 nt
Filed under: Escherichia coli
Lineage: Bacteria; Pseudomonadati; Pseudomonadota; Gammaproteobacteria; Enterobacterales; Enterobacteriaceae
Description: partial 23S ribosomal RNA
Rfam family: Bacterial large subunit ribosomal RNA
Source: RNAcentral
GGCACUACGGUGCUGAAGCAACAAAUGCCCUGCUUCCAGGAAAAGCCUCUAAGCAUCAGGUAACAUCAAAUCGUACCCCAAACCGACACAGGUGGUCAGGUAGAGAAUACCAAGGCGCUUGAGAGAACUCGGGUGAAGGAACUAGGCAAAAUGGUGCCGUAACUUCGGGAGAAGGCACGCUGAUAUGUAGGUGAAGUCCCUCGCGGAUGGAGCUGAAAUCA